Molecule: ribosomal RNA, 216 nt
Filed under: Triticum aestivum (bread wheat)
Lineage: Eukaryota; Viridiplantae; Streptophyta; Magnoliopsida; Poales; Poaceae
Description: partial small subunit ribosomal RNA
Source: RNAcentral
AUGAGUCUUCUUUGCUGGAACUGCCGCGGAAUUGGCAAAGCCGUGACCGUUCGGGAGCUUCGCGACCUAGCGAGGCAGUUUGCCCCCUCUAUUCUUUGUAUUCUGGAAACACAAUUAGAGGGUUCGAGAGUAGAAAAUUUGGCAGAAGGAUUAGGUUUCAAUAAAAGUUAUGCAGUUAGUAGUUCUAGAAGGAGUGGUGGCCUAUGUAUUUUUUGA